AAUCAACGCUGGCGGCGUGCCUAACACAUGCAAGUCGAGCGGACUUAUGGGGCUUGCUCCAUAAGUUAGUGGCAGACGGGUGAGUAACGCGUGGGAAUGUACCUUUUGGUUCGGAAUAACUUCGGGAAACUGUAGCUAAUACCGGAUGAGCCCGUGAGGGGAAAGAUUUAUCGCCAAAAGAGCAGCCCGCGUUAGAUUAGGUAGUUGGUAGGGUAAUGGCCUACCAAGCCUACGAUCUANAGC
Molecule: ribosomal RNA, 243 nt
Filed under: uncultured bacterium
Lineage: Bacteria
Description: partial 16S ribosomal RNA
Rfam family: Bacterial small subunit ribosomal RNA
Source: RNAcentral